RNAcentral lists this ribosomal RNA (465 nucleotides) under uncultured bacterium. Its description in RNAcentral is "partial 16S ribosomal RNA". It matches the Rfam family "Bacterial small subunit ribosomal RNA", at positions 28 to 507 of the family's 1533-position model. The record is from RNAcentral.
GAUGAACGCUGGCGGCGUGCUUAACACAUGCAAGUCGAACGGAAAGGCUCCUGCUUGCAGGGGUACUCGAGUGGCGAACGGGUGAGUAACACGUGGGUGAUCUGCCCUGCACUUCGGGAUAAGCCUGGGAAACUGGGUCUAAUACCGGAUAGGACGAUGGUUUGGAUGCCAUUGUGGAAAGUUUUUCGGUGUGGGAUGAGCUCGCGGCCUAUCAGCUUGUUGGUGGGGUAAUGGCCUACCAAGGCGUCGACGGGUAGCCGGCCUGAGAGGGUGUACGGCCACAUUGGGACUGAGAUACGGCCCAGACUCCUACGGGAGGCAGCAGUGGGGAAUAUUGCACAAUGGGCGCAAGCCUGAUGCAGCGACGCCGCGUGGGGGCUGACGGCCUUCGGGUUGUAAACUCCUUUCGCUAGGGACGAAGCGCAAGUGACGGUACCUGGAGAAGAAGCACCGGCUAACUACGUG